AAGGACAAAGAAGAGUGGUCCCAAUAUUGAGCCUGGCUCAAUAUUGGGACCACUCUUCUUUUCUUCUUUAUCCUUUAUA
RNAcentral lists this microRNA precursor (79 nucleotides) under Paramuricea clavata. Lineage: Eukaryota; Metazoa; Cnidaria; Anthozoa; Malacalcyonacea; Plexauridae. The record is from RNAcentral.